GAUGAACGCUGGCGGCGUGCCUAAUACAUGCAAGUCGAGCGAAUGGAUUAAGAGCUUGCUCUUAUGAAGUUAGCGGCGGACGGGUGAGUAACACGUGGGUAACCUGCCCAUAAGACUGGGAUAACUCCGGGAAACCGGGGCUAAUACCGGAUAACAUUUUGAACCGCAUGGUUCGAAAUUGAAAGGCGGCUUCGGCUGUCACUUAUGGAUGGACCCGCGUCGCAUCAGCUAGUUGGUGAGGUAACGGCUCACCAAGGCAACGAUGCGUAGCCGACCUGAGAGGGUGAUCGGCCACACUGGGACUGAGACACGGUCCAGACUCCUACGGGAGGCAGCAGUAGGGAAUCUUCCGCAAUGGACGAAAGUCUGACGGAGCAACGCCGCGUGAGUGAUGAAGGCUUUCGGGUCGUAAAACUCUGUUGUUAGGGAAGAACAAGUGCUAGUUGAAUAAGCUGGCACCUUGACGGUACCUAACCAGAAAGCCACGGCUAACUACGUGCCAGCAGCCGCCGUAA
This 515-nucleotide ribosomal RNA is filed under the name uncultured bacterium. RNAcentral describes it as "partial 16S ribosomal RNA". It matches the Rfam family "Bacterial small subunit ribosomal RNA", at positions 28 to 523 of the family's 1533-position model. The record is from RNAcentral.